AUGAAAAAUCAUUUUUCAUCUGACUUACAGGAUAUGGCAUCUCUGCAGGAUUCACCAAUGGUGGGGCAACCAAGGCACAGCAGGGAUAUGGAGGAUAUGCUAAUGGAGGAGCAGCUAGGCAACCUAAUACAGGUAUUAUAUUGGACGUCAUCACCUUCUUUGUUAAAUUAAUUUGAUUCUAAAGUUUAAUUAUUACAUUGUGGAUAAUACUGAAUUCUGAAAAGAACUGUGGAUGUUACACUUGUCUAAAAUAUUUUUCUCUAAUUAGGCUCUUUUCUUCAAAAUAUGGGUUAUCCCAAUGGUGGAACCAAGGGACCUAAACCAGGUAAACUUUGUGUAUUUAUGCGUAUGGUGUGUAUUUCUUUUUCCUUUAUCAUUUGAAUGUAUGUUGGUUCUGCUUUAGGAUAUGGUGCUAAAGCUGGACCCUCAAACGGACAAGGAGCCAAGCCUGGUAAAUAGCAUGUGAUUAUUACUAUUUUAAAACACAUAUGUGACCCUGGACAACAAAACCAGUCAUAAGUAGCAUGGGUGUAUUUGAAGCAAUAGCCAACAAUACAUUGUAUGGGUCAAAAUUAUCAAUUCUUUUAUGGUACAAAUCAUUAGGAUAUUAAGUAAAGAUCAUGUUCCAUGAAGAUAUUUGAAAAAUUUCCUAUUGUAAAUGUAUCAAAAUUUAAUAUUUGAUUAGUAAUAUGCAUUGCUAAGAACUUCAUUUGGAAAACUUCAAAGGUGAUUUUCUCAAUAUUUAGAUUUUUUUGCACCCUCAGAUUCCAUCUUGGCCAAAAAUUUAUUUUUUUUUUAUUUUUUUUUUAAUACUCCAAUUGUAGUGAAGCCCCAUUUAGAUUAAUAAACAAUGUUAGUGGUGGAGGAGUGGAUUAUUAGCAGUAAAGGAGGUCUGUAGGCACCUCUUGUGUCCACUGUUUUGCCUUUUUUCCAGUGUGUACAGAAUUUUACAGUUCGUCUUUGGAUAGCUGCAUUAGGUCCAGUUUUAAAUAAACUCUACAUCAUCUAAUGUAAAACCUUAAGUCAUAUCUAUGAUCUGUAGGUUACGGUGUUCCUGGACAUAUGUCAGAAGGACCUUAUAAAGCAGCUAAUUCAGGUAAAUCAUUAUUAUUGAAAGUACUUUAAGCAAUUUUAUUUACUACUUCCAUAUGACACAGAUAAUAGUAGCUUUAUAAUCUGUCAUUCAGAAAUACAUGCAUGUCUCUGCAUGUGAAUUUGCCAUAUUGGAUUGUGUAAGUGUGUAGUAAAAC
Long non-coding RNA from Cyprinus carpio carpio, 1250 nucleotides. Lineage: Eukaryota; Metazoa; Chordata; Actinopteri; Cypriniformes; Cyprinidae. The record is from Ensembl.